Molecule: non-coding RNA, 86 nt
Organism: Podarcis lilfordi (Lilford's wall lizard)
Lineage: Eukaryota; Metazoa; Chordata; Lepidosauria; Squamata; Lacertidae
Source: the annotation of a GenBank genome assembly
AGCUCUUGUUGGACUACAACUCCCAUCACUCCUGACAACCAGUUCUGCUAGCUAGGGAUGGUGGGAGUUGUAGUCCAACAACAGCU